UUCCACUUAAUGAUAGAAAGUGCGGGUAGGAUUCUUUUACUGUGAAUCAGACUAAAAUAAUUUUAGUUUGAGCGGUUAAAAUCAAAUAUGAUUUUGCCAUGAGAACAAUGCCGAAACUGGCUAUGUAGUCAAACACUGUCGUCUGGCUAAAUAUAGAUCUACAAAUUUUGUACAUCUCUUUGGUACAAGUAAAUCAUCUAGACUCUAAUUUGAGAAUAUUAUUAAUUGAAAGAUGAAUGAAGAUUACUACCAGUAAAGAACAUUGGAGAUGUGUAGGACGUGCCCAUAAGAUGCCACAUUUUUCUCCAUCAUGAACUGUGUACUAAGGAAGAUGAUUCUGGAAUGUUAUGAACUGUUAUGAACAUUGACAUGAAUAUGAGGAACUGUCAAGAUGAAGAUGUCAAGAUUUUAUGUUUGUGGUCUUCCCCGUAAAUUGAAAAUGCCCUUGUAAGACUUGACAGUAGUGGAAAAAUAUUGACAUAUUUUUUUUCAAGGGGGGGAGGAAUCUGUUAGACACCUUAUUUAUAUAGGUUAGUUAUUUAGCGACGCACCAUAGAAGACGCAUAUUGAACGGGACUAGUGACGUUUGGGAUAUGUUGGGUUAGAGACCGAAAAAUCAGUUAGCGAUAGAACAUUCCAGGGUAACGACGUGUUUAGUGACAGAGACUUCUACUGUGGCCUUUUAUCAGAAUAAAUCCAUGUACAAUUGUU
This is a long non-coding RNA of Biomphalaria glabrata, 711 nucleotides long. RefSeq lists it as uncharacterized. The transcript is spliced from 2 exons. Lineage: Eukaryota; Metazoa; Mollusca; Gastropoda; Planorbidae. The record is from RefSeq and is a predicted model, not a curated record.